UCAGAGCUCAGGCGAUUCCGCCCGUCCGAUUGAUCUCCUGAUGCGUUUCCGGCCGUCGGAUCUCGGGUUCGGUUCACGUGAGGCGUAGGAUAUUUACCAGAUCGCCGUGAGCCGUUAGAUAAAAUUCCAAUGCCACCGCGUGUAAAACUAGAUGGUUGCGGAGGGCAUUUUCGUCAUUUCCCAUGGUUGGAAAAAUAUCCAAUCGCCACAUGGGCGUGACCUAGCCGUCGCUUCUCCACAUUCGCUCGUCCCACCUCCUCUGCCUCGCACGCCGCCACCGCUCGCCCUCACGCCGCCGCCGCCUCCGCUCGCCCUCGCGCCGCCCCCUUGCCUCUCUCUCUCUCUCCCUCCGAGCCCUAGAACCUCACCCGCGCCUCCCAGCUCCGCCGCCGUCCAGGUCCAGCCCCAUGCCACCGUUGUCUUCUCGCCCAGCCGGCCGCCACCACACCGCACGCUCGUGCGCAGGGGCGAGAAGGGGAACCACCGCCCGCUCCCGGAGCGCGAGGAGGACGUGGUGAUGCAGCGCCCAGAUCCACGGCGGCAUCGACGCGCCGUCGUCGACCUGAGCCACCACCGUCCUCGAGGUCGGCCAUGGAGGGGGGGUCCGACCCAGGUACAGCCGUGGACGGAGACACCCCAAACCCUAGCAUUGCUGCUGCUGGUCAAGGUGCACGCACGCGUCCAGCAGCGAACCCUAGCCUCGGACGACAGCAGCGGCCAUCACCAAUGACGGCAGCGACAGGGGGUGAAUUAGUUCUGCAGAUAACAUUCAAUGCACUGUCUGAACUGCGUCCGUGUAACUCGCUCUAGCAUAUCCUGUGUGUGCAUAUCACGUCUGUGGCAUCACCAUGGUGGAACCGAAAAUGGACCUAUCAAGGAGAUGGAUGUGGUUAUACUAGAUGCAGGGUAACCAUAUGUAUGCAGAGAUGCCUGAGAAAUUUGUUAACCAAUUUAUAUGCGUCCUCCAAGAGUGUGGGUUGAUGAUCUGUCGCAAGUUUCUGGUCUUUCUCAAGAAGUAUGUCUUCGGGCCGGUGGAGAGUCAAUACAUGAUUAAGUUCACUAGGUAUACAACUGUUGCGUGAUGGGAGGGUCUAGAAGCAGAAUUUCCUUUCUGCACCUAUGUCCUGACUCCAAUUAAUCAGCUCCCAAGGCCUACAAACACGCCUGAGCGUUUCACAGAUGUGGUUGGGAUUAUCCCAGGUUUCUUUGUUCUUUCAUGUUGGAAUCAGUGACAAUACCUUGCCGGCACUCCUCGUAUUCUCUCCACUAUGUUUGGCUAAGGUUGCAAAGGUGGGUACGAGGAGAUGAGUCUCGUGGCGGUGAGCGGAACGGAGACAAGGAUGGCGACUUUAUGCUUCUCGGAGACCUCAUCUGGAGGUGGUGGCCAAAGGCAAAUGGUACAGAACCUCCAUGAGAUUUUGAAUUCUGCUUGAUGCAUACAAGAAAGGAUAUUGUGAACAUUUGGUUCAUUUUGGUUGUGGAUUGACCUAUGCUGUGCAAGGAAACAUGUUGUCACGCCUUCAAAUCAACCUGCGAUGUGUUAAGCGGAUCACUGUGUAACUGAAUGAUCAAUCAGAGAAGAGUAUUUUUUCCACCAAAAGUGAGGUGAAAUGUUUCUGUUCAUCUUGGUUGUACUUCAGAUAAGAUUUAGCUACAGAUAAUCAGUAGUCACCUAAUGUAUUUGUUUGCCAAGUGUGUAGUGAGCGCUAAGGUGUCACUGGUUAUUUUACAUCCUUUAUUCUUAUUCCAUUUAACCUCCAAAUGAAAUACUCUAGGAGAUUUGUUGGUGCUCCAUUAACCAAAUAUCGCUGACAAAAUGUGGUUGUCAUUUCAGUUGAGAGAAAAAUUGCAUACUUUGUGAACCAACGGGAGAUUCAUCGUUUAAUAUUAUUCUUUAAUCACUAAAUCAUAUAGGAGAUUCCUUUGGUGCCCCAUUAACCAAAUAUUAGUAUUACUAAUAAAACUGACAAAAUGUUAUUCUGGGUGUGACUGAGCCCUGCUGAGGCAAGGUCACCCCUUUUACCCACUUACAUCCUCAAACGGUGAGUCCCUGACACCCCUCUCUCUAUUGAUUGAUCCAUAUAUCGCUAGGAAAGAAUGGCUCCCUAUCAGUUCAACUACUAUUGGACUAUGAAUUAUUUUUUUUUAGGGAAAUUAAUUACUCCUUGGAGAAUCAUAGAUCCAUGUUCUAUUUUUGUCAUGUAAGUUAGGUUAUAACUAUGUAGUUACAACCACAUAUUUAGUGUUGCAAUAAAAAACAAUUAAUAAUAGAAACAAGUCAAUUAUGCGACUCGGUUGCGUCUUUCUGCAUAUCAAUCUUGGUUUAGGUCAUUUAUUAUUUGAUCCCGUGAUUGUGUUGAUGGCUUAGUUUCUAUUUCUUCAGAAAGGCACAAAUAUGAUCAACCCUAUCCAAUUAAAGUUUAAUCACCUCACAUAUACAUGCUUUUUUAAAUAUAGAGUUGUAUUCAAUUUGGCUAGGAUGUAAUCCCAGUGCUCCUAAAGUUAUUCCCCAAGCAAUCAAAUAUUUGAAGUGUUCUUUUGGAAGAAAUGUCUUCCUGCACAAUACUAUGUAUGGCUAGCUGCUAGCUGUUGAUUUAUAUUGAUUUCUGUCAAAUAGGCUGCAGUUAUAUAAACCUUAAUGAGACAUCUUUGAAGAGAGUUUAGCCAUUCCAUAUUUCUCUUUCGGGCAUGUGUUGGCAUGAUAUUAGUACCAACGACUCAUGUGGUGGCUUACAUGAGAAGUGUUACAUGUCUUGGCAUGAUUUUAUAUAAGCCAGUAACACCGUUUUAUUUUCUGUCUGCCAUGAUUUAUCAGUUUGGUUGUUAUAAAUCUGUUUUUCAUCUAGCUCAUAUCACUGUUUAUUUGAAUUCCUUGCAUUUGUGGUUGGCUGACGGUAUAAGCAUUAUUUAUUAAGUGAAUUUGUAGACUGAUGUAAUUGCAGACUAAUAAUAGUAUUGACAUUGUUUGCUUACUAACUAAUGUCUCUGUAGUAGGCCAAUUUGUGUGUUUUUGGUUGUGGCAGACCAUUUUUAGUCAAAUUGAGAAACAACUGCCUUUUGGUCUCGGCCCAUAACCAACCGUGAAAGAUGAGAUGUUUAUGCUGCCCUUCUACCUUCCUCCCUGUCCCUACUUUUCCCCAUCGUGUGUUCGUCUCUCUGAAGUAAAGUAAACAUGAAACUAUAUGCUGAAAAGUGGGGUGAUAAAUAUCCAGUUACUAAAUUCACUAAAUUUGUGAUCCCAAUAGUGUGAUCAAAAUAGUGAAAUGUCAGGGUUUGCUCUACUGCAAAUUUGCAGUUUACUUGAACUUUGUUGUGAUGAGCAAUUCUGGUCUGACCAAACUAAUAAAUGCAUGUGCUUUUCAUGUUUUGUUCCUAGUAAGAAGUUGAUUCUGUAUUUUAUGUAUUUGUUGUGAGCUACUUUUAACUCUGAUAAAGAACGUACAUUGUAUUUUCUUGCUGGUGUCCUUACAUCUUUGAUCUGAUGCUUUAUUACCGGGUUGGGAGUGAUCGCACCCGCAGGGGUGCGACAAGCCACAAUUUCUAUCUGGUCUAUGUUAGGCCUGUCCAGACGACUUCAACUUCUGUACGCUACAUUUUCUUUUGGAUGUGUCAUGUCGUCAUUUCUAUUGGUCUACGUUAUGCCUAAGACCAACCAAGGAUUUAUCAGUUUGGUUGUUAUAAAUUGUCUGUAAGCUACUACAUGUUGUCGUGUCUUUUAUGCCUAAGAUAUUUAGUGCUAAACCUAUCGGCGAAACAUGCUUUCUAUGUUCAUGCAUUGUUUAGAGGCUUCUUAUUGUGUGUAUACAAACAUUUGGACCGGCACCCUCGCGCCAAGGCGUGAUCCCGAUCUAGUUUCAGAAUAUUGUUAGCCCAACAUACAUGAUAUUUGUACAUUAGCAACAUGUAUGUUAGUCCCAAAAUGAAUUUUUGAACUAUGGAUGGUACCACUAAAUUUUUUUGAACCACAUCUAAAUUUCUCAUUUGCUUCUCUGUUUACAUGACCCACAAUGCACUUGAUUUCCAAACUAAUAGAUUUGGAAACAAUAGUAGUUUUGGUUUGUUUUUAUUCAACAACAGUUGCAUAUUCUUGCUAUAAUCUGUGAUAUGGUCUGUGCUGGCUAUCAUGCUUCUUAAUUUCCAAUAUAUUGAUCCAACAAUUACAGCAUGGCCUGAUAGACAUUGAAAUCAAUUUGUUCGGGCUGAGAACCAUUCUAUAUAAUACUCACCAUUGUUUCGUUUCUUUUGGUCUAGGACAAAGGGUAUAGGAAUGUUUGUAUUCAGAUAGAAGGCUGAAUUAGAUGCAUUCUUCGAGAAAAAUUUACAUCUUUUUACUAAUUCCUCUCUUUGUUUUGUUUGUUUGGCUAUUUCAGAAUGACAACGAGAUACACCUCCUUGAUGAAAAUAUAUGGGCAGUCAUGUAGUCAUCACCGAGGAAGAUAUCGUAUGUAGCUUACUAUAUUUUUCGACUGCCAAAACAUGAGAAGGAAAGUGCGCCUUUGCUUUGGUCUUGCUGUUGUUAUGAGGUCCAUUUGUAAAGAGCAUGGAUAUGCCCCUUCCAAAGCUCUAUGCUAGCUUCUUUGUUUUAUAGUAUUUAACAAAAUUCUUCAUCAACAGUUUGAAUACUUGUUUGUUUUAUAGUAUUUCGCAGAAUUCUUCAUCAACAGUUAGAAUAACAAUGUCCUAAGAAAUUUGGAUGACUCAUAUUAUUGAAUCGAUCCAUGUUUAAGCUAAAUUGUUAUGGAUUGAACUUUGAGGAGCUCAAUCCAUAUAGCUAAAUUGAUGUUAUUUAGUUACGAAAUUAGAGAAAAGUGGGAUGCUCCUUUUCUGACUAGGUGCAUACUUUCACUUGAUUUCUAUAUUUUAAAUGCUCCCCUCCUGUUGCUAAGAACAUAUAGCCAUGUGAUUUUUCUUGCUAAUUUUCUGUCAUUUAAGAGUUCUAUUUUGCUCUGUUCCUAUAGUAACCAUUUGGGACUUGGAUACAAAGUUUUGUCCUGGGCGGUUGAAUUUAUAAGGACAUGAUAUCUUGCCAUUAUGCAACCUAUACCAUGCUUGUGUCAUGGCAGUAUUAACCCCUCCAUCUACUCUUUGUUGCUGAAGAAACCAGUAGUUGUAUUCAUUGCAUGUCAGCUGGUCUACGACUUCCAUAAGUUUGCAUCAUUUUUUUGAGUACUUUGCUGUUAGUAACUUCAACAAGACUAUAAAAAAAUGUUGGAUCUAUAGGGGGCAACACAUAACCAGCAAUAAUGAGGUGCCGUUGGCCAUGGGUGCAGUUGUCCACAGCUAGGGGUGGGAUUGUUAGUUUGUUACAACAUAUGGAUGAUAUGCACAUGGAAGGCUGAUAUAAACAAGCUAUAAUUGUUUGGGCUAUGAUUCGCAACAUAGAUUGGGGAUUUUAAAAUGUCAGACAAGAAAGUUAUCGGCCUGGUCGUCGCUUGAGUCGGAUGAGGUCAUGGUUACUUUACCUGAUGAGUUACUGCCCAGGAAGAGCACAAUCCACCACCGCUAUAUAGCAGAUGGAGCUACCAAGGACGUCGUCAUAUUGACCGCCGAUGACCUACAUCCUUUCGCUUCCCCUCAUGUUUUGCAGAAUAGAAGUGGCCUGAAAGCCACUUGAAUGAAAUCUUGUGUCUUGCGAUGUGUCAAUGCCAUGAAUUAGAUGUUUGUAGUAUAUUUUUUUAAUUGAAAUGUUUACCUGUGAUAUUGAGCACAGUACAUUAGUGCAUGGAUCAGCAUUGCAGUUUCAACUCUUUUGAUGUAUGGUGAUCUCUGUUUUGUGCAGACUAACAAGGCUUUGUAGUGAAUUUUUAUAGGUCACAUGCGACAAGUUGCCCUUCGUAUGUUAAUCUUGAUACUUUGUACUGAAUUUUUAUGCGAACCAUUUAUUUGUCC
Triticum dicoccoides is the source of this 5889-nucleotide long non-coding RNA. RefSeq lists it as uncharacterized. The transcript is spliced from 12 exons. Lineage: Eukaryota; Viridiplantae; Streptophyta; Magnoliopsida; Poales; Poaceae. The record is from RefSeq and is a predicted model, not a curated record.